CCUACGGGUGGCAGCAGUGGGGAAUAUUGGACAAUGGGGGGAACCCUGAUCCAGCCAUGCCGCGUGUGUGAAGAAGGCCCUCGGGUUGUAAAGCACUUUCAGUGAGGAAGAACGCCUGGUGGUUAAUACCCAUCAGGAAAGACAUCACUCACAGAAGAAGCACCGGCUAACUCCGUGCCAGCAGCCGCGGUAAUACGGAGGGUGCGAGCGUUAAUCGGAAUUACUGGGCGUAAAGCGCGCGUAGGUGGCUUGAUAAGCCGGUUGUGAAAGCCCCGGGCUCAACCUGGGAACGGCAUCCGGAACUGGCAAGCUAGAGUGCAGGAGAGGAAGGUAGAAUUCCCGGUGUAGCGGUGAAAUGCGUAGAGAUCUGGAGGAAUACCAGUGGCGAAGGCGGCCUUCUGGACUGACACUGACACUGAGGUGCGAAAGCGUGGGUAGCAAACAGGAUUAGAUACCCUGGUAGUC
This 465-nucleotide ribosomal RNA is filed under the name Vreelandella stevensii. RNAcentral's name for it is "partial 16S ribosomal RNA". It matches the Rfam family "Bacterial small subunit ribosomal RNA", at positions 338 to 795 of the family's 1533-position model. The record is from RNAcentral. Lineage: Bacteria; Pseudomonadati; Pseudomonadota; Gammaproteobacteria; Oceanospirillales; Halomonadaceae.